AGAAAUAUACUAGGAUGAUGUGAAAGAAAUACUCUGACUCAACAAUCUAAAUCAAUACACUUGAAUCACAGCAAUGAAAGGCUCAUCCACAUCCAAACGAUUUCAAAAGUUUCUCAAAUCAAAGAAGUACUUUGGUAAUCAUGAUUCACAUUUCAAGCUUACUUAGCCUAUGCUCAAUACAACAGAUAUGACUGAAAAAGCAUAGCAUGCUAACAAGGCAUGACUUGGUUAAAUCAACACAAACGACAAACCAAUACUUGACAUCUAACAAAUUCGUUUGGACAAAAGAGCUGAAGCAACACUAAUCAUUAGUAAGAACUAAACAAAAAGUCCAGAGUCCAGAAACAACCAAAUUAAACCUCUAUUGCGACAGUAUUAACAGUCCCAUGAUAAUAUACAGGGAUAAGAACUAAAUUUACUAAAACACAAUCAUCUAAACGAGAUACAUCUGAAACUCAAAUAAAUCAACAUCAUGCUUUAAGCCUUUUGUUUUUUAUUUCACUCUUCAAAUCCAUUUCACAAUCAAUAGAACUUAAGAGUGUGUACCUGGAAAUUGAAAUAGAAACAGAAAAGUGAGGGGUCAGUAGAAAUUUUGCUCAGAUUCAUCAACCAAAACUGAAAAUCCACUCAGAAGAAUCAAUAGAACAGUAGACCAAUCAGCAAAAACCAAACCAGCUAUUUUCAAUACCUAAGUUCAGUCCAUUUUACCCCAGAUAAAUCAAAAGUGGUUCAAAAAUUGAAAACUUCCAAGAAAAUCCAGAAGAAGUUCAAUGAAACACUAGUUUUUAAUGAACUUUCAGCCUGUUUUCUAUUUUUUGCAGAAAUUUUCCUUUUCUAGUCUCUAAAAUCUUUUCUAAAUUUCUGAAAUCUUUUCUAAAC
RNAcentral lists this long non-coding RNA (879 nucleotides) under Nicotiana benthamiana. Its description in RNAcentral is "long non-coding RNA (NBEN_LNC006508)". The record is from RNAcentral. Lineage: Eukaryota; Viridiplantae; Streptophyta; Magnoliopsida; Solanales; Solanaceae.